RNAcentral lists this ribosomal RNA (253 nucleotides) under bacterium. RNAcentral's name for it is "partial 16S ribosomal RNA". It matches the Rfam family "Bacterial small subunit ribosomal RNA", at positions 524 to 776 of the family's 1533-position model. The record is from RNAcentral. RNAcentral also lists the same sequence under 1 other name.
UACAGAGGUCCCAAGCGUUGUUCGGAUUCACUGGGCGUAAAGGGUGCGUAGGCGGUCGGGUAAGUCUGACGUGAAAUCUUCAAGCUCAACUUGGAAACUGCGUCGGAUACUAUUCGGCUCGAGGAAUGGAGGGGAGACUGGAAUACUUGGUGUAGCAGUGAAAUGCGUAGAUAUCAAGUGGAACACCAGUGGCGAAGGCGAGUCUCUGGACAUUUCCUGACGCUGAGGCACGAAAGCCAGGGGAGCAAACGGG